CCAAUAGCGUAUAUUAAAGUUGUUGCAGUUAAAAAGCUUGUAGUUGAACUUCGGGGUUCACCCAUUGGUUAGGCUUAAUUGUCUGUACUGGUGAGAUGAAUCUCUACCUUCUGAGGAACUUUCAUGCCAUUUAUUUGGUGUGGUAGGAAAUCAGGACUGUUACUUUGAAAAAAUUAGAGUGUUUAAAGCAGGCUAACGUCUGAAUACAUUAGCAUGGAAUAAUGAAAUAGGACGGACUGAUUCUAUUUCGUUGGUUUCUAGGAUCACCGUAAUGAUUAAUAGGGAUAGUUGGGGACAUUAGUAUUCAAUUGUCAGAGGUGAAAUUCUUGGAUUUAUUGAAGACUAACUACUGCGAAAGCAUUUGCCAAGGAUGUUUUCAUUAAUCAAGAACGAAAGUUAGGGGAUCGAAGACGAUCAGAUACCGUUGUAGUCUUAACCAUAAACUAUGCCGACUAGGGAUCGGACGAAGUUAAUUUUAUAAUGACGCGUUCGGCACCUUACG
RNAcentral lists this ribosomal RNA (502 nucleotides) under uncultured Glomeromycotina. RNAcentral describes it as "partial small subunit ribosomal RNA". It matches the Rfam family "Eukaryotic small subunit ribosomal RNA", at positions 591 to 1092 of the family's 1831-position model. Lineage: Eukaryota; Fungi; Glomeromycota. The record is from RNAcentral.